Molecule: ribosomal RNA, 412 nt
Filed under: uncultured Desulfocapsa sp.
Lineage: Bacteria; Pseudomonadati; Thermodesulfobacteriota; Desulfobulbia; Desulfobulbales; Desulfocapsaceae
Description: bacterial SSU rRNA
Rfam family: Bacterial small subunit ribosomal RNA
Source: RNAcentral
UGGUCUUGACAUCCCGGGAAUUUCCUUGAAAGAGGGAAGUGCCUGCAAGAGGAGCCUGGAGACAGGUGCUGCAUGGCUGUCGUCAGCUCGUGUCGUGAGAUGUUGGGUUAAGUCCCGCAACGAGCGCAACCCUUGUCUUUAGUUGCCAUCAUUCAGUUGGGCACUCUAAAGAGACUGCCGGUGUCAAACCGGAGGAAGGUGGGGGAUGACGUCAAGUCCUCAUGGCCUUUACUGACCAGGGCUACACACGUACUACAAUGGCCGGUACAAAGGGCAGCCACUUAGCGAGUAAGGAGCCAAUCCCGUAAAAGCCGGUCUCAGUCCGGAUUGGAGUCUGCAAUUCGCCUGCAUGAAGUCGGAAUCGCUAGUAAUCGCAGGUCAGCAUACUGCGGUGAAUACGUUCCCGGGCCUU